Molecule: ribosomal RNA, 482 nt
Filed under: uncultured bacterium
Lineage: Bacteria
Description: partial 16S ribosomal RNA
Rfam family: Bacterial small subunit ribosomal RNA
Source: RNAcentral
AUUGAACGCUGGCGGCAUGCCUUACACAUGCAAAUCGAACGGUAACGGGCCUUCGGGUGCCGACGAGUGGCGAACGGGUGAGUAAUACAUCGGAACGUGCCCGAUCGUGGGGGAUAACGAGGCGAAAGCUUUGCUAAUACCGCAUACGAUCUACGGAUGAAAGCAGGGGACCGCAAGGCCUUGCGCGGACGGAGCGGCCGAUGGCAGAUUAGGUAGUUGGUGGGAUAAAAGCUUACCAAGCCGACGAUCUGUAGCUGGUCUGAGAGGAUGAUCAGCCACACUGGGACUGGGACACGGCCCAGACUCCUACGGGAGGCAGCAGUGGGGAAUUUUGGACAAUGGGCGCAAGCCUGAUCCAGCCAUGCCGCGUGCAGGAUGAAGGCCUUCGGGUUGUAAACUGAUUUUGUACGGAACGAAAAGCCUUCUUUUAAUACAGGAGGGUCAUGACGGUACCGUAAGAAUAAGCACCGGCUAACUACGUG